This 403-nucleotide ribosomal RNA is filed under the name uncultured bacterium. RNAcentral's name for it is "bacterial SSU rRNA". It matches the Rfam family "Bacterial small subunit ribosomal RNA", at positions 90 to 507 of the family's 1533-position model. The record is from RNAcentral.
CGCGAGCGGCGAACGGGUGAGUAACACGUGAGAAACCUGCCUCUAGCUCUGGGAUAGCUUCGGGAAACCGGAAUUAAUACCGGAUAUGACUGCGGUCGGCAUCGACUGCGGUGGAAAGAUUUAUUGGCUAGAGAUGGUCUCGCGGCCUAUCAGCUUGUUGGUGGGGUAACGGCCUACCAAGGCGACGACGGGUAGCCGGCCUGAGAGGGCGACCGGCCACACUGGGACUGAGACACGGCCCAGACUCCUACGGGAGGCAGCAGUGGGGAAUAUUGCGCAAUGGGCGAAAGCCUGACGCAGCAACGCCGCGUGGGGGAUGACGGCCUUCGGGUUGUAAACCCCUUUCAGCAGGGACGAAGCGAAAGUGACGGUACCUGCAGAAGAAGCGCCGGCUAACUACGUG